Long non-coding RNA from Aethalodelphis obliquidens (Pacific white-sided dolphin), 1689 nucleotides. RefSeq lists it as uncharacterized. The record is from RefSeq and is a predicted model, not a curated record. Lineage: Eukaryota; Metazoa; Chordata; Mammalia; Artiodactyla; Delphinidae. The transcript is spliced from 3 exons.
CGCGCUGCCGGCGGAUUGGGAAGUUUGACAAAUCGCUCCAGAGGCCGGAGGAGGAGGGGGCGGGGAGGAGCGGCGGCCCUGCCCCCCCCCCGCCCCGUCCCCAGACGAGGCCUCACCUGUCGGCCAGGAAAAAUGAGACUUGAAAACGGGCCAGAGUCGUCCUCCAAUGGGGAAAUUUGUCAUGGAGACACACCCAUCUCAAAUGUCCAGAAAUGCCACCUCUCUGGAGGAUGGUCCUAUCUGGGGCACGUCAGGAGUCUAGAAGGUAGACAGCAAAGGUGAGAAAGUAGAGAGCUGGCUCUCCAGCCCAGGAUGCAUGAAGGCGUGAGGGAAGGUGGCUAGGAGAAGCACCUAUCAGCAGCACAGAAGGGCCAAGUGAGCAGCUGCACGUGUGCACGCAACAGUAGCGAGUGGAAUUUGCACCAUCCAGGUCAGAAGCCUGGAAAAUCUGACAGUCUCAUUGAUUUGCUCGCCUUGCCAUCGCUACUUGAGAGGAGAAGCAAUGUGAUUUCAAAAUUGCAAUUAGGAGCCAGCCCGUUAAGGGUUCGUCUCAUGAGCUCCCGUGCUGUGCGGCUCCCAGGCCCACCUUGUCUCAUUUCCUGAGGAGGUAGGUUCAUUCAUAGUUUUGAAUGAAGCAGGCGAUGCACAUAUGUCACCCCUCCUCGGGGUGAGGCUCGUAGAUGCCUUCUGGCACUUUGCUCUCAUUUUGGUCAGGUCUUUGAAAGAAUGGCAAUUUUCUCAAUGUUUUAAAAGUAUUAACUUCCUUCCAAACAUUCUUUAACCUUUAAUGUUUUGUAACUUGAUGAAAAGGUCAUUUUGUUCUGAGGAUGCAGCUGUUCCAUAAUUGUUCAGCUAUCAGGGUGAAUUCUAUCCAAAUUCUGAGUUUUUAAUGGGACCCAAACCACCACACACACGCACACACAAUAUAGAUACUACUUUUCAUUGUUCAUCCGUGUCCAUGUAUGUGUGCAGGUCUACAUAUUUGCACCUAUGCACACACAUAUGCUUCUAGAGACUCGGAUUUAGAUUAACAUCUCUACAUUCUCACAGAAUGACUUCCUUACAGGAAAAUAUCUAUAAAACAACUUUUUUGAAUAGUAAGGUUUGCUAAAGAUUGGAUGAUAAUCAUUCCUUAUGCACUGCGCAUGUUCCUGUUUUUUAAAAAAGGGUUUAGUCAAUUUCUAAUUUAACAUUUCAUUGUUGUGCCUACAAUAAAUGCAUCCAGAAACCCAGGUGACUUGAGGUGUUUUCUGUCUGUCUUCUUACACAGUGUCACGGGCUCUCGUAGCCAUUCCCUGCCACGUUUACCUUUCUAAGGUAAACAUGGAGUCUUGGAAACAGACGUCUGGGCAUGUUAGAUUUAUAUUUUAAAUAAAGUCAAUAGGCUCAAAUAAGAGCAUGAAAGGAUUUUAUACAAGGAAAAUGCAUGAAGUUUAUGCCUGGACCCACAGUAGAUAUUUCACUUACAAGAGGCAUUGGGUGUGGUCUCCUGCGUGUCUGGGUCUGGCCCUGAUGAUUGAAUUUUUUUUUAUAUAUUUAUUUUAUUUAUUUAUUUGUUUAUUUAUUGGCUACCUUGUAUCUUCUGUUGCUACGUGCGCGGGCUUUCUCUGGUUGCCGUAAGCGGGGGCCACUCUUCGUCGUGGUGUGCGGGCUUCUCGUUGCAGUGGCUUCUCUUGUUGCAGAGCACAU